UGGGUCUUGUGUGGAAUCGGUUGAGCCCAACCAAGGAGUCGAUGUCUCUUCGGACUCCACAUCGCUGGCUCCCAACCCUAUAAAAGGGAGGACGAUGUGGUUUCUUCAUAGUCUGAUCAUUUCCGAUCACUAGCCGUGAAACCAGUGAGCUAUGAUCUCCAGAGAAUCGACGAGAGCGAGCCGGUAGGUUUCUCGAAUGCGGAGGCUAGAUUGCUUGAAACUAGCGAACGAGGAGGCCGAGAGAAUCGAUCAGAACGCAGCAGCAUGCUUCCUGAAUGCGGAGACGAGGGAUCGGAGGACAAAGAAUCAGAGGGCGACGAGGGGAACGCGCAGCAGGGGCUCGCACUCGUCACCUUGAUCCCGUUCUUGGCUGUUGAGUUACUCCGAGUACUUCUUCGUAACGGAGCCGCUGUGGUCCCUAAGAUCAGAUCAGAUUGCGUCUCUCGACCGUCGGGUCGACUGGCUGAAGGUUCACGAACGGAGCUGCCGCGUUCCCCAAGCUCUUUCUCAUCUCUUUCUGUUGGGGUGUCUUACGGUUUCUUCUUGUUUUUGGGAUUUCUCUGAAGUCUCUUCUUGAAUCGUCUACGGUUUUACGGUUUCUUUAGGUCUCUUUUGGGGUUUCUUUAGGUUUCGCUUCCUCUCCCCCCGCCUUCUGUAUUCAUCUCGUCCCUUUUAAAGUGCUCCUUUCGAACGAAGCUUUUUGUUCUUGGGAUUUCUUUAGGUUCCCUCUCGAAUCUUUGGUCUUUGUUAGGCUUCUUCUUGUUCUUGGGGCUUUUACCUCUAUCUCGCUCUCCACUCCUCUCCUUAUCCCUCCCUUCUCUACUGCUCCUCCAUGGGAAUUUGUCGGGGGCCCACCCUUUCUGUAGAGACAUCACUCUGAUGUGAAUAUAGCAUUAGCUGUAGUUUUUGCGUUAUGGAUCAAAGAGCGAUUAAGGAGUUACUGUAGCUCCUUUGAUUGGUAGUGCAUGACAUUCUAUAGGAAUUAUGAUGAUAUAUAUAAUUUACUAAAAGAGUAAACGAAGGAAUAAAUCUGGAAGAUUGUAAGUUCAUUUACUGAAUAAACACAUCAUGCAUUUUUCUGGAAUAAAUUUGGGAGUAGUGUUUGCUUUCACCGUUCAUGAAGUUUUCUUAAGAUAGAGGCUAUUUAGUCCCACAUCCUAAAUCCUAUUCUCGCAUGGAGUAUAUAUUAGAAGCCUUGCUUAAGGCUUAGGCACGACCUUACUUGAACAGGAUCUGUUCUAUAGGCUCGUGCAUCUGUCUUCAAGAGUUCAAAGAAGACAGGCAAUCAAGUCUGGCGUAUGACUCCAUGGCCUUAGAAUUAGAGCGUGAUUAACGGGUGAAAACUUCUUUGAGUUCAAACCUCCAGAGGAUCGUUCUCAGUUGGCUGUGACCACCUGGGGUGAUUCUAAGGAUGUCUGACAGAC
Long non-coding RNA from Musa acuminata AAA Group (dessert banana), 1424 nucleotides. RefSeq lists it as uncharacterized. The transcript is spliced from 3 exons. Lineage: Eukaryota; Viridiplantae; Streptophyta; Magnoliopsida; Zingiberales; Musaceae. The record is from RefSeq and is a predicted model, not a curated record.